UUUUUUAAUAGAAGCAUAAAAUUCAUUGAUAAUAUACUUAAAAUAGAUUAGCCACUCUCAUUUCAGAGAUCUCCCUCAAGGAGUGACUAAAAAUGACAAAACCCACCAGAUCUUACGGAACAAAACACCAGAGUAUAUAGUUAGCAAAAGUAUUACAAUGGUGCCAUGGCACUGAUAAUUAUAAAUUCAAUACCACAUUACUAUAGUAACAACAAAACGGAAGACUUAGGAAGGGCAACUAGAGAUUUGGCUUCAAGGGCAUUUGGGUCCUCCCUCCUUGGUCUUCCAGUUGUUGUAGCAAGGGCACACAGCUUUAUUCCCAUAAUACCCUGGAGGCACACACAGGCACUUUCUGCAGCAUUUCUGACAGAAGAACAUGCAAGGCUUGUGGUAUUGGGUCUUGCUGCACCUCCUCGAGCAUUGUGAUGGGCAUUGGUAGCUCUUGAGACUCCCUGGCCCAUAGCGCUUUUGAUUGUCAUAGUGGUGACCUCCAUGACCAUGCGAUGCCAUAACCAGGGUUUGGAGCAUUGAACUGGCAAUGAGGGCCAAGAGGAAGACAGCAAAAAACUUAGCCAUAGCCUUUGCCACAAUGCAAAUAGAAGAGGAAGCGGUGAAGGUGAGAAGAGGAGAAUAGAUUGGUUGAAAGGGGUGUUGGAAUGU
RNAcentral lists this unclassified non-coding RNA (660 nucleotides) under Hevea brasiliensis (rubber tree). Lineage: Eukaryota; Viridiplantae; Streptophyta; Magnoliopsida; Malpighiales; Euphorbiaceae. The record is from RNAcentral.